GGCCUUUCCCCCUCCCGCAGCGCCUCGGGCCGAGCGGGUCUCGGUGCGUCGGGGAAAGACGGCCGGGCCCGCCGUUGCCGCUGCUGCCGAGGCCGGGCCAGGGUUCCGGGAGGACCCCACGGGCUCAGGCAGGCGUUGAGGCGUCUGGAGUGGCGCAGCCCAUGGCCGACCUGAAGCUAGCCUUCACAGACGGGCGGCCCGCUGUCCUGAGGGAGGGUGACCACAUCAGCACUCUGGGGAGGCCCGCCAGGACCGUGAGGAUCCCACAGUUGCUCCAUCAGUGGAAGAGUCCAGAAAAGGGAGCCAUUUCUAAGGCGGUUCAGGCCCACGGGAACAUCGGUGUGCGACUGUCCAUGGUGGCCACAAGGCGGAACCCAGAUGAGUGUGGUCCAGCCGUGGGAAGGAGUAGAUGCCAGCAGGUGCCACAAUGUGGAUGGACCCUGAAAGCAGCCUGCUGGGGGA
Molecule: long non-coding RNA, 462 nt
Organism: Lontra canadensis (Northern American river otter)
Lineage: Eukaryota; Metazoa; Chordata; Mammalia; Carnivora; Mustelidae
Exons: 3
Source: RefSeq, a predicted model, not a curated record